CCUUACCAUGCAGUCGAACGGCAGCGGGCCCUUCGGGGUGCCGGCGAGUGGCGAACGGGUGAGUAAUGCAUCGGAACGUACCCGGGAGAGGGGGAUAACCGGCCGAAAGGCUGGCUAAUACCGCAUGGACUCGGAAGAGCAAAGCGGGGGACCUUCGGGCCUCGCGCUCUCGGAGCGGCCGAUGUCCAAUUAGGCUAGUUGGUGGGGUAAAGGCCCACCAAGGCGACGAUCGGUAGCGGGUCUGAGAGGACGAUCCGCCACACUGGAACUGAGAGACGGUCCAGACUCCUACGGGAGGCAGCAGUAAGGGAUAUUGCCCAAUGGACGGAAGUCUGAGGCAGCAACGCCGCGUGCGGGAGGACGGCCUUCGGGUUGUAAACCGCUUUUGGAGGGGAAGAGGGAGGACGGUACCCUUCGAAGAAGUCUCGGCUAACUACGUGCCAGCAGCCGCGGUAAAACGUAGGAGGCGAGCGUUAUCCGGAUUUACUGGGUGUAAAGCGCGUGCAGGCGGCGGCGCAAGUCGUGUGUGAAAGCUCCCGGCUCAACCGGGAGAGGACGGACGAGACUGAGCUGCUAGAGGCAGGUAGAGGUGUGUGGAAUUCCGGGUGUAGUGGUGAAAUGCGUAGAGAUCCGGAGGAACACCAGUGGCGAAGGCGGCACACUGGGCCUGGCCUGACGCUCAGACGCGAAAGCAUGGGGAGCGAACGGGAUUAGAAACCCCGGUAGUCCAUGCUGUAAACGAUGCGGACUAGGUGUUGCGGGUUGAAUCCCCUGCAGUGCCGAAGCGAACGUGAUAAGUCCGCCACCUGGGGAGUACGGCCGCAAGGUUAAAACUCAAAGGAAUUGACGGGGGCCCGCACAAGCAGCGGAGCGUGUGGUUUAAUUCGAGGCUACACGAAGAACCUUACCUGGGCUUGACAUGCUGGUGGUAGGGAAGCGAAAGCGGACCGACCUUCGGGAGCCAGCACAGGUGCUGCAUGGCUGUCGUCAGCUCGUGUCGUGAGAUGUUCGGUUAAGUCCGGUAACGAGCGCAACCCUUGCCGUUAGUUACAGGUAUCUAACGGGACUGCCCGUAGGAAGCGGGAGGAAGGUGGGGAUGACGUCAAGUCAGCAUGGCCUUGAUGUCCAGGGCUACACACACGCUACAAUGGCCGGUCCAGAGGGUAGCCAACCUGCGAAGGGGAGCCAAUCCAGGAAAGCCGGUCGUAGUUCGGAUUGCAGGCUGCAACCCGCCUGCAUGAAGUCGGAGUUGCUAGUAAACGCGCAUCAGCCAUGGCGCG
Molecule: ribosomal RNA, 1280 nt
Filed under: uncultured bacterium
Lineage: Bacteria
Description: partial 16S ribosomal RNA
Rfam family: Bacterial small subunit ribosomal RNA
Source: RNAcentral